GAUGAAGAACGUAGCGAAAUGCGAUAAGUAGUGUGAAUUGCAGAAUUCAGUGAAUCAUCGAAUCUUUGAACGCACAUUGCGCCCUUUGGUAUUCCUUAGGGCAUGCCUGUUCGAGCGUCAUUUAAACCUUCAAGCUAAGCUUGGUGUUGGGUGACUGUCCGCUUCACUGCGGACUCGCCUCAAAAUUAUUGGCGGCCGGUACAUUGGCUUCGAGCGCAGCAGAAACGCGAACUCGGGCCCGUCGUAUUGGCUCCCAGAAGCUAUCUUCACAAUUUUGGCCUCGGAUCAGGUAGGGAUACCCGCUGAACUUAAGCAUAUCAAUAAGCGGAGGA
Molecule: unclassified non-coding RNA, 332 nt
Filed under: soil metagenome
Description: partial contains 5.8S ribosomal RNA, internal transcribed spacer 2, and large subunit ribosomal RNA
Rfam family: 5.8S ribosomal RNA (bases 1-120)
Source: RNAcentral